CAACCUGUUGAACAACCUAUACUUGAAGAGUUUGAGACUGUUAUUGGUGGGGAAGGGGUCGCUACUGGUGGGGAAGAUUUUUCUGGUAAUGUAGAAGAGGAAGUUGCUAGUAUAGAGAAUCUAAAUGGUGGAGAAGAGGCUGGUGAAGAAAAGGUUGCUUCAGAGGUAGCUAGUAGUAAGUCAGAUCUUGAUGAACUUCCCGAUGAGGCUGAUAGAAAUGAAAUGGAGAAGAAAGGAGAAAACAAUUCUGGAGGGUUGCAACGGCUAGCUAUCUGUUUAAGUACAACAAAGAAGUUGCAAACAUGAGGAAACUUAGCUCAACUAUAUGUGAAGACAUGAUGAAGUACCCAAGAGAGUCAUGGUGCAGGGCAUUCUUCCAAGAAUAUUCCAGAUAUGACAUAGUAGAGAAUAACAUGUGUGAGACUUUUAACUCAUGGAUAUUUACUGCUAGGCACAAAAGUAUUGUUACCAUGUUAGAUGAAAUUAGGCAUAAAAUCAUAUCUAGACAGGUUGAUAUAAUAAAGUUUGAUGAAAUAUGGAUUUCAAAUAUAUCACCUAUGGCUAGGCUAACAUUAGAAGAAAACAAGGAUUUAGCUAGACAGUGCCAAGUUAUAUAGAAUGGGCAGGAUGGAUUUGAAAUCAAAAAAGGAGAUUUGAGGUUUAUAGUUGACACUAGGAUGAAUACUUGUAGUUAUAGAUUUUGGAGGUUGAGAGGCAUCCCAUGUGAACAUGUUGUGUGUGCAUACUAUUACCUACAAGAUGAUCCAGAUCAAUAUGUGGAGCAUUGGUACACAAAGGAAACAUUUCUGAAGGCUUAUGAACACUUCGUUCAACCAAUUCCUAACCUGAAGAUGUGGCCUAAGAGUUAUAAUCCUACCAUUGAACCACCAGCCCCAAGGCCAAUGCCAGGCAGCCCCCAAAGAAAUAGAAGGAAGGAAAGGAAUGAACCUAAGAAAAAAUGGUGAAAGUUGUCCAAAAAAAGAGUCAAGAUGACAUGUUCAUAAUGUCAUCAAGUAGGCCACAACAAAAAAAAGCAUGUACAUCAAGGGUUGCACCUAGAGGGUCAUCAAGUAGACAAGAACCACAAGGAAGUCAAUCAAGCCAACCAACUCAAAGGAGUUCAAUCUACGAUGAAACAACAACAACUAUUAAUAGAUGAAGGGGCAGGGGAAGAGGAAAUGCACCUAGUGCAGCUAUUAGACCUAAAAAAGAUGUAUUUCCAGAUGCACUUCCUUAGACUGCUCCCAGGGAAAGAUCCCCAAAAUCAAAGGCAGCAAGAGGGUCUUUAUCUACUGGAAAAGGGGGAAGGGGAAGUUGACCUGCAACUGCAAAAUUAUCUGUUGCUUUUGGGGAAAAAAGGCCAAGAACUAAUGGCUUUAGAUGCUACACUAACACAGAGAUUGGAAGGACAUUCCUUAGUCCUGAUUUAUCAAGUGAAAGGGUUAACAACUAUGAGACUAAAGUAAGGAGCAUCACUGAUGUGAAUCUGGAUGAUGGAAUUAGGCUUCUAGGACUUAGAUGGAAUGGGAGAGAUGUUAUUACUACUUCGCAACUACAGCAAAUGAGUGCAAGUAAAAGAAAACAAGUUGGAACACAAGCAGCAUCUCAGUCUUCAACUCAAGUGAUCAUGGAUAAACUAGCCAAAAAAAUUAGUAACCAAUCAAGAUUAUGUAAUAUGUAGCACUUGUUUUUGUUAAACCUUGAUUUUUUUUGUUGAAUGUGGUUUGCUGCACUCACUGGUAUCUUUUGAAACUGGAUUAUAUAA
Molecule: non-coding RNA, 1765 nt
Organism: Nicotiana tabacum (common tobacco)
Lineage: Eukaryota; Viridiplantae; Streptophyta; Magnoliopsida; Solanales; Solanaceae
Source: RefSeq, a predicted model, not a curated record